RNAcentral lists this ribosomal RNA (600 nucleotides) under uncultured bacterium. Its description in RNAcentral is "bacterial SSU rRNA". The stretch from base 1 to 516 matches the Rfam family "Bacterial small subunit ribosomal RNA", at positions 338 to 873 of the family's 1533-position model. The record is from RNAcentral.
CCUACGGGAGGCAGCAGUGGGGAAUCUUGCGCAAUGGGGGCAACCCUGACGCAGCCAUGCCGCGUGAAUGAUGAAGGCCUUAGGGUUGUAAAGUUCUUUUGCCCGUGACGAUGAUGACGGUAACGGGAGAAUAAGCUCCGGCUAACUUCGUGCCAGCAGCCGCGGUAAUACGAAGGGGGCUAGCGUUGUUCGGAAUUACUGGGCGUAAAGCGCGCGCAGGCGGUUCGAUAAGUUAGGGGUGAAAUCCCUGGGCUCAACCCAGGAAUGGCCUUUAAGACUGUCGAGCUAGAGGACGAGAGAGGUGAGUGGAAUUCCCAGUGUAGAGGUGAAAUUCGUAGAUAUUGGGAAGAACACCGGUGGCGAAGGCGGCUCACUGGCUCGUUUCUGACGCUGAGGCGCGAAAGCGUGGGGAGCAAACAGGAUUAGAUACCCUGGUAGUCCACGCCCUAAACGAUGAGUGCCAAGUGUCGGGAAGCUUAGCUUCUCGGCGCCGCNGCUACGCCUCAGCACUCCGCCGUCGGGUAGGUACGGCCGCGAACGUAAACGUAACGAAGAGUAGUAGUCGUGUGAGNGUCGACGACGACGACGACGGAGGAGGAG